UUCAAGUACUAAACUAAAUCCUAAUCUUGGCCCAAAUUGGUGAAGCCCAAAUAAAUAAACCCAUACUUCCCUCUCAUUGCUUUUCACGUAAAACAAAAAAAAAACAAAAAAACUCUCAUACCCAUAACUCACUCCUCUCAUGAAACUCUCUUGUGAAACUCUCACCCUCAGAACCCCAAAACCUCUCACUGAGUUCUUGUUGCGCCGUAGCCGUCGAGCCGCCGCCGUCGGCAUCCCUGUUCCUCCACCGUUCGUCUGCCACCACCGAGGACCAUCAGCCACCUUCAUCGUUCCCCUGCACGCUGCGCCGCACCACCCGCAUAGCCGCUGCUGCCCUGCCCAGUCGGCCUCCCUCCUUCUCCUCCACGCACACAAGCAGCCUUGCCUCUCUUCUGUGUUUCUUGCUCGAACACGCAACCACCAUUGCCGACCACCGCGUCGCCCAGCCCUGCCGCCGCCAGGCCCGCUGCCGUGUGUUGUUUGCCGCCGGCCAGCACUUCCUCUUCCUCUCUCUUUGGCGGAUAAUUCUUUGUAGGCGACUUUUGAAAGUGUUAAAGUGGCCUAUUAUUUGUUUACACAAGUCUCUAGGGAUCAAUAAGCAUCGUCCAUUACAGGUUUGAAGGUGAUGCAUCAUGGGGUUCGGGAUUGAGGAGUUGUGUAGUUAUUAAAUUGUUUUGUUUUAAGUUUGAUGUUGAAUUUGUUUGGCCUGUUUUAAAGAGACUCGAACUUUGUUUUAAUUAAUUACGUUGACUU
Molecule: long non-coding RNA, 753 nt
Organism: Spinacia oleracea (spinach)
Lineage: Eukaryota; Viridiplantae; Streptophyta; Magnoliopsida; Caryophyllales; Amaranthaceae
Exons: 4
Source: RefSeq, a predicted model, not a curated record